Molecule: ribosomal RNA, 527 nt
Filed under: uncultured bacterium
Lineage: Bacteria
Description: bacterial SSU rRNA
Rfam family: Bacterial small subunit ribosomal RNA
Source: RNAcentral
AAUAGAUACCCUGGUAGUCCACGCCGUAAACGAUGAGUGCUAAGUGUUAGAGGGUUUCCGCCCUUUAGUGCUGCAGCUAACGCAUUAAGCACUCCGCCUGGGGAGUACGGCCGCAAGGCUGAAACUCAAAGGAAUUGACGGGGGCCCGCACAAGCGGUGGAGCAUGUGGUUUAAUUCGAAGCAACGCGAAGAACCUUACCAGGUCUUGACAUCCUCUGCCAACCCUAGAGAUAGGGCGUUCCCCUUCGGGGGACAGAGUGACAGGUGGUGCAUGGUUGUCGUCAGCUCGUGUCGUGAGAUGUUGGGUUAAGUCCCGCAACGAGCGCAACCCUUGAUCUUAGUUGCCAGCAUUCAGUUGGGCACUCGUAAGGUGACUGCCGGUGACAAACCGGAGGAAGGUGGGGAUGACGUCAAAUCAUCAUGCCCCUUAUGACCUGGGCUACACACGUGCUACAAUGGAUGGUACAAAGAGCUGCGAACCCGCGAGGGUAAGCGAAUCUCAUAAAGCCAUUCUCAGUUCGGAUUGU